This 644-nucleotide ribosomal RNA is filed under the name Micropodabrus sp. UPOL 001304. RNAcentral's name for it is "eukaryotic LSU rRNA". It matches the Rfam family "Eukaryotic large subunit ribosomal RNA", at positions 670 to 1259 of the family's 3401-position model. Lineage: Eukaryota; Metazoa; Arthropoda; Insecta; Coleoptera; Cantharidae. The record is from RNAcentral.
GGAGUCCAGCGUGUGCGCGAGUCAUUGGGCAUUAUUUUAAAACCUAAAGGCGAAAUGAAAGUGAAGGCGCGCUUAGAGCGCGCCUAGGGAGGAUGGGCGAGCCUCGAGCUCGCCUCGCACUCCCGGGGCGUCUCUUUCUCAUUGCGAGAAAAGGCGCACCUAGAGCGUACACGCUGGGACCCGAAAGAUGGUGAACUAUGCCUGGUCAGGACGAAGUCAGGGGAAACCCUGAUGGAGGUCCGUAGCGAUUCUGACGUGCAAAUCGAUCGUCGGAACUGGGUAUAGGGGCGAAAGACUAAUCGAACCAUCUAGUAGCUGGUUCCCUCCGAAGUUUCCCUCAGGAUAGCUGGCGCUCGGAGGUGUGAGUUUCAUCCGGUAAAGCGAAUGAUUAGAGGCAUUGGGGACGAAACGUCCUCAACCUAUUCUCAAACUUUAAAUGGGUGAGAUCUCCGGCUUAUUCUUAAACUUGAAGCCGCGAGAAUCUAAAUUUAUAAAGAAUCUAGAGUGCCAAGUGGGCCAAUUUUGGUAAGCAGAACUGGCGUUGUGGGAUGAACCAAACGCAGAGUUAAAGCGCCUAAAUAGACGCUUAUGAGAUACCAUGAAAGGCGUUGGUAACUUAAGACAGCAGGACGGUGGCCAUGGAA